UGCCUGUACUGAGCCUAAAAACUCAGGGUUUGAUAAGGUUACUGCACCAGUGAUACAAUUGUAGAUUUUUAAAAGCCUCCUCAAAGAGACAGAUGUUUGGGCUGAUUAAGAAUUGAGGAGGAAACCUGCAGCUGCACCAAGGAAUAAUCUAUUGGACAAAUAUUUUAAUAAAAAAAUAUGAAGAGAUCAGCCCGACCUUGCAAGGUCUUCUGCUUUAAAAAAAUCUUUAUCAAACCCCUAUUCUAUGGCUUCAAUAAACAGAACCCAUUACCUCACGGCAUCUUUUGUUGGCCCCAUACAAGAGAGAACAAAAUGGUUAUUCAGGGGAACGCUUUCGAUUUUUAUUGUGGGUAGCCUGCACAAAGAGCCGUGUUAUUGUAUUUAAAAGAACCAUCUGUAGCAGAAACAAUGGCAUCAAAUUAUCUUUGAAUACCCACUGAAAAAAACAUAAAGCUUUUUUUUUUAUUCUUCUUCUGUACGGUGGGGGGAUAGAGCAGUGUUAGGAUAACUGACUUUUUUGUUGUUCUCUGGGUGCAUUCUUCUCGCUCCCCCUCUCUCCCCCUCACCCUCUCUCUCUUCUCUCUCUCCCUCUCCCUCUCUCUCUCUCUCUCUCUUUUAAAAAAUCAGCCAUUUGGGGUUUUAAGCCAUAAACGAUUUUUCUUGUUGCAGGGGAUUGCAGUGGCAAAGCUAGGCUAGGUCUUGGAAGCUGGUGUAAGGCGAUGCGGGUGAAGGCAGGAGGCUGAUGGAAAGACUGGGGGGAAGAAAAGCCGAAAUGGAUUCACGGUGCCUUGGAUGAAGGACGAGAGGGGAACUGCAAGCUCCUUCAACUGGUUCUGUCCGGUGAGAAGUGAUCAAGCUUGGGCUGACAAGAGGCUCAGGGAACCCUCACGUUCUUUCGCUUUUUUACCUGCCAAUCAAACUGCUACAAGACAACACCCUGAUCUGGCAUGGACAUCGCGGGUCCAAGCCUGUAGCCCCAAAUCGGAUAAUCUCUGCAGCUGA
Molecule: long non-coding RNA, 1002 nt
Filed under: Papio anubis (olive baboon)
Lineage: Eukaryota; Metazoa; Chordata; Mammalia; Primates; Cercopithecidae
Description: lncRNA (ENSPANG00000049862.1)
Rfam family: SOX2 overlapping transcript exon 3 (bases 680-955)
Source: RNAcentral